RNAcentral lists this long non-coding RNA (298 nucleotides) under Coturnix japonica (Japanese quail). RNAcentral describes it as "lncRNA (ENSCJPG00005000985.1)". Lineage: Eukaryota; Metazoa; Chordata; Aves; Galliformes; Phasianidae. The record is from RNAcentral.
UUCUGAAGAAAUUCCUUACUCCUGGACUUGUGGGAGGUGGUGAAUGAGUGCUUGGAGAUGCAAGGAGAUUCCCUCUUCCUGCAGCUCAUUCUCUGCUCCAGGUGACUUUAGUAACCCAUAAGUUCCUCAGGGAGACAAAAGAUUUUGUUCCAGCAAAGAAUCAACCAUAAACUUCUACAGCAAACUGAAGUUUAAGACAAAAAUUGAGCCAAGUGAGCAUCAAGCAGUAACAGGCUUAGACUGGUUCUGCGUGUGCACAAAAGAAAAGGACACGAGUUUAUUUUGUGUCUCUCCAUAA